CAUGGUGAUAAAUAUCCUGUUCUAUUUCCUGUUUAUACUUUAUACUUUCACUUUCUCCAGUGGUGACGCAGUUCUGUUCUCCGUGUUGAAGGCAGAGUCCUGUAAAAUAUUAUAAUCCUCUGGUUGAAGAAAUCUCUUGAACUCCGGUCUCUCGGGAGGUCGACUCUGACAGAUGAAGGGGGGAGGGGGACUCUCUCGGGCUCGCUCCACCUGUCACUCACUGCACGCCAUGACAGCACGAGGAGAGGAGAAAUGUCAGAGCAUUCAGAUCCUUACAGAUAAAAAAAACAGGAGAGAGGGUGAGAAGUUAAACCCUGAAGAGACAUGAGAAUGUUUAUUCAUGACAUCAUACGUUUCUUCAAACCAUGCUCAGAGCUCUGUUGAAGAGAGUUCAACAGGAGAGCUCCGAGGUUCACAGAGAUCAAUCAGACCAGC
Non-coding RNA from Labrus bergylta (ballan wrasse), 435 nucleotides. NCBI's taxonomy places the organism in Eukaryota, Metazoa, Chordata, Actinopteri, Labriformes, Labridae. The record is from RefSeq and is a predicted model, not a curated record.